RNAcentral lists this RNase P RNA (381 nucleotides) under human gut metagenome. Its description in RNAcentral is "Bacterial RNase P class A". It matches the Rfam family "Bacterial RNase P class A". Rfam says of the family: Ribonuclease P (RNase P) is a ubiquitous endoribonuclease, found in archaea, bacteria and eukarya as well as chloroplasts and mitochondria. Its best characterised activity is the generation of mature 5'-ends of tRNAs by cleaving the 5'-leader elements of precursor-tRNAs. The record is from RNAcentral.
GUCGCGCCCGAAAGGGUGAGGAAAGUCCGGACUCCGCAGGGCAGGGGACUCGGUCGUCAAGGCCGGGACUGCGGCGGCAAGCGCCGUAGAUGGAAAGCGUCACAGAGAAUAGACCGCCCUCUUGAGCCUUGUGCGAAGGAGGGUAAGGGUGAAAAGGCGGUGUAAGAGACCACCGGGGUUGCGUGAGAGCGCGCCCGCACGACAAGCCCUCCCCGGAGCAAGAUCAAAUAGGGGACCGACGGGCGGCCCGUCCGGUUCUGGCAAGGCCAAACGCCGCGUGGUCUUUACCGCGCGUGCCGGCGAAGCAAGAUCAGGUCCCGGGUUGAUUGCGUUAGAUGAAUGAUCGGACCCGCAAGGGGAACAGAAUCUGGCUUAUUCGCC